Molecule: ribosomal RNA, 1438 nt
Filed under: uncultured organism
Description: 16S ribosomal RNA
Rfam family: Bacterial small subunit ribosomal RNA
Source: RNAcentral
GACGAACGCUGGCGGCGUGCUUAACACAUGCAAGUCGAACGGAAAGGCCCUGCUUUUGUGGGGUGCUCGAGUGGCGAACGGGUGAGUAACACGUGAGUAACCUGCCCUUGACUUUGGGAUAACUUCAGGAAACUGGGGCUAAUACCGGAUAGGAGCUCCUGCUGCAUGGUGGGGGUUGGAAAGUUUCGGCGGUUGGGGAUGGACUCGCGGCUUAUCAGCUUGUUGGUGGGGUAGUGGCUUACCAAGGCUUUGACGGGUAGCCGGCCUGAGAGGGUGACCGGCCACAUUGGGACUGAGAUACGGCCCAGACUCCUACGGGAGGCAGCAGUGGGGAAUAUUGCACAAUGGGCGGAAGCCUGAUGCAGCAACGCCGCGUGCGGGAUGACGGCCUUCGGGUUGUAAACCGCUUUCGCCUGUGACGAAGCGUGAGUGACGGUAAUGGGUAAAGAAGCACCGGCUAACUACGUGCCAGCAGCCGCGGUGAUACGUAGGGUGCGAGCGUUGUCCGGAUUUAUUGGGCGUAAAGGGCUCGUAGGUGGUUGAUCGCGUCGGAAGUGUAAUCUUGGGGCUUAACCCUGAGCGUGCUUUCGAUACGGGUUGACUUGAGGAAGGUAGGGGAGAAUGGAAUUCCUGGUGGAGCGGUGGAAUGCGCAGAUAUCAGGAGGAACACCAGUGGCGAAGGCGGUUCUCUGGGCCUUUCCUGACGCUGAGGAGCGAAAGCGUGGGGAGCGAACAGGCUUAGAUACCCUGGUAGUCCACGCUGUAAACGGUGGGUACUAGGUGUGGGGUCCAUUCCACGGGUUCCGUGCCGUAGCUAACGCUUUAAGUACCCCGCCUGGGGAGUACGGCCGCAAGGCUAAAACUCAAAGGAAUUGACGGGGCCCCGCACAAGCGGCGGAGCAUGCGGAUUAAUUCGAUGCAACGCGUAGAACCUUACCUGGGUUUGACAUGGAUCGGGAGUGCUCAGAGAUGGGUGUGCCUCUUUUGGGGUCGGUUCACAGGUGGUGCAUGGCUGUCGUCAGCUCGUGUCGUGAGAUGUUGGGUUAAGUCCCGCAACGAGCGCAACCCUUGUUCACUGUUGCCAGCACGUUAUGGUGGGGACUCAGUGGAGACCGCCGGGGUCAACUCGGAGGAAGGUGGGGAUGACGUCAAGUCAUCAUGCCCCUUAUGUCCAGGGCUUCACGCAUGCUACAAUGGCUGGUACAGAGAGUGGCGAGCCUGUGAGGGUGAGCGAAUCUCGGAAAGCCGGUCUCAGUUCGGAUUGGGGUCUGCAACUCGACCUCAUGAAGUCGGAGUCGCUAGUAAUCGCAGAUCAGCAACGCUGCGGUGAAUACGUUCCCGGGGCUUGUACACACCGCCCGUCAAGUCAUGAAAGUUGGUAACACCCGAAGCCGGUGGCCUAACCGUUGUGGGGGAGCCGUCGAAGGUGGGACUGGUG